This is a long non-coding RNA of Olea europaea var. sylvestris, 1312 nucleotides long. RefSeq lists it as uncharacterized. The transcript has 2 exons. The record is from RefSeq and is a predicted model, not a curated record. NCBI's taxonomy places the organism in Eukaryota, Viridiplantae, Streptophyta, Magnoliopsida, Lamiales, Oleaceae.
AUUGAUGCAUAUUCCCAGUUGGGCUAUAUUAGUAGCCUUUUGUUUUCGGAACCAAUUUACAGCAGAUGGUUGCAAGUGAGAUUAUUACAAGAAGAGGUCAUCCAUUCUGAAAAAGUAAUUUACUGAAACAUAUCCCAAUUUCACUGGUCCAAUCCAUUUCAUUUUUCACUCAAAAAGUCGUGCAAUGGUGACAGUAAUUUUUAUUUUUAUCUUGCGAGUCCUGCAAUUUCUUACAGUUUCCCUAGAUUACAGUUUAUUUUUCAUUUGGGGUUUUUGCAAGGAAGGAAAUGUAUUGUCUCAGAAACCUUUGUGCAGAGACGAAACUCACGGCUUUCAAGUUUACUUAUAGCAUUCCUAUCCCCAGAUUAAUGGUUUGGGUAAAUUGAACUUGGCUGGCGACUUUUUCAGAUCAUACGGGGCUCGUUUUAGGCUCAAUGAGUUCUAGGCCAUGUGUCGAGCAUAAAGUAUUUUCAUGGUCUGGCGUGAUCCACCAGUUAGAAUUUGAGCAAGUGGUGUGGUGGUGCAGAAUGAAGCUGAACUCCACCCCUAAGAUAGAACUACCCCAGAAUGGGGAUUUACAAGGAAUUCUCCAGUUUGUACCUAAUUAUCACCUCCAGUGGGCCAACGACUUUCUAUAGAAUUUUCUUUUUCGAAAAAAUCUAAAAUCUCACCUAAAGGCCCACACGUGAACUUCAUUACUCCUAUUAUUUGAGCUAACACAAACGUAUAGUUCCUCCAAUUUGAUGAUAAAUUAUUGGGAAAGGAAUCCCAAUUCUUUAUACAUAUGGUAUGGAAUCUAGCUUCAGUUUUCAUGUAACUCAUUGGACAGAGUUUAUGCAUUUUUAUUGCAAAUUCAGUCCAAGAUUCUCAUAUAAUGGUUGGCAAUUCAUGGCCUUUGUUGAGUUGAUCUUGAUCACUCUCUUUUGACUAAAGGAACAACUAGUUGCCAUUGAUUCUCCUCAACUUAUGCAAGAAUAAUGCAUGCAAUGGAGUAAUGUAUGAUAGGAAUCGUACUCUCUCAAUCAAAGAACUAUUUUUAUGAUUCCCCAUUGUCCCAUUGGUAAACCGCCUUCCUCGGAAGUGAAGCAAAAGAAAAGUGGCGAUUUCAGCUUCAUGCAGGUGAAAUUUAUCGAAGGAUUGACUCGUUUAAAACCUUACAUAUCAUGUUGUCAACAUGUCCUGUCAACAAAUUCCUGAAUUAUUUUUUUUUCGUGUAGAGAUUGCCAGUUUGAGCCACAAAACUUAUGUUGAUAUUUCCUUCUGUAUGCAUGAAGCAAUGACAGUUCAAAGAAAAUUUUUGAUUUUAGCUUUA